GACGAACGCUGGCGGCGCGCCUAACACAUGCAAGUCGAACGGAGCUUUGAGAGCUUGCUUUUAAAGCUUAGUGGCGAACGGGUGAGUAACGCGUGAGUAACCUGCCCUGGAGAGGGGGAUAACAGCCGGAAACGGCUGCUAAUACCGCAUAAUGCAUCGGAUUCGCAUGUUUCUGAUGCCAAAGAUUUUAUCGCUGAAAGAUGAGCUCGCGUCUGAUUAGCUAGUUGGCGGGGUAACGGCCCACCAAGGCGACGAUCAGUAGCCGGACUGAGAGGUUGAACGGCCACAUUGGGACUGAGACACGGCCCAG
This 310-nucleotide ribosomal RNA is filed under the name uncultured bacterium. RNAcentral describes it as "bacterial SSU rRNA". It matches the Rfam family "Bacterial small subunit ribosomal RNA", at positions 28 to 334 of the family's 1533-position model. The record is from RNAcentral.